Molecule: long non-coding RNA, 2762 nt
Organism: Passer domesticus (house sparrow)
Lineage: Eukaryota; Metazoa; Chordata; Aves; Passeriformes; Passeridae
Exons: 2
Source: RefSeq, a predicted model, not a curated record
CCCUGGGAGGGAGAGGAGAGGAAAAACACCGAAAGGAAAAGCAGUGUCAUGUGUAGCACAGCCAGAUUUAUUUUCUGUGAAGGACUCUGGGUAAAUGAGUGCUCCUCUCCAACUGCUGCUGCCCUGCUCAGGGACCACAAAAGCUGCUGGUUUUAGCUGGAGCUGGCUCUGUGUGGAGACACUGCCGCAGGGCAGAGGGACUGAACAGCUCAGGACACGUUUUUAUUCUGCUUUGGUCCACCUGAGAAAAGCUGCCAGCUCUGCACAGCAUUCCAAAGAAGCAGCCUUGAACCUAGAAUGGAAAAUUUCCAGCUCAGCCCUAAGCUGGGGAUCUUGGACUGAAUCUUGCUUUUUAGUUCUUGCUGCAGUGCCUGAAAGUCAUCUUGAAAUGUUCAGACUUUCCUUACUUCCUGCUGCCAAAGCAUGUGUGGGAAAGAGGAAAAAUCCAGCUCCAGACUUGAAAGAUCAAGUGAAAAGUGUCAUCCUAAAAAGCACAAGACUGCAAAGCCAGGAGGAAAUGUCUGCUCCUGAAACUCGGAUUUGCCUCCCUGCAGCUGAAGAGCCUGAAUUAUGUACCUGGAAGCUAAUGAGCUUACCUUCCACUCAGUCUUAUCCCAGCUCACCAGGACCAGGAUUUCCCACCAAGAUGAUAUGAACACCUGGGUUGACAAGAGGAUGCUGCUGGACAUGGUAAGCCACAGGUAACUCAGACCAGGAGAAGUUCUGGUGAACCCUGCCCCUGAUGUGGGGCCAGUUACUGCUGUGGUGUCACGAAAAAAUGUUCAGCUUCCUAUCCCAAACUGAAAACUGGUGAUGAGGGGGUCUGGCCAUCAAAAAGGCUCAGGAAUGGCUGAUGUGUCCCCUCAGCUCAUGCUCCAGCACCUACAGCUGACCACUGUCAAUUGCUAGUGCUUAACAUUAAUAUUUUAAUUAUUUUCAUAGCUCUUGGAGUUUCCAGACUGCCUGGAGAAGGAAAAUCCCUGGUGCACUCCCUGAGACUCACGAGCAGGAGAAUGCGUGGGGGUGAUACUGCAAAAUAAACAUUUCACAGGAGUAUUUAGAAAUUGGCUGCAGCAGCCUGGGUCACUAAAACCCUGGGGCCAGGACUCUUUCCACAGAGAGCUCAGGAAAUGUGGGCGCCGGGGAGUUUCUCAGCGGGUUUUAUGUUCCAGCCAGACUGUGUGUAAAUUCUCAGCAAUGCUACCAAUAAUGCCAGAAACAGACACUUUUCCAAGCAGAUGCUGUUUCUGGUUAAGGAAUCCAUCAACACGAGCCAGGCCCCAGGUUUCUAAGGACAGUUGUUUUAAUCCUGCCCCCAGAUCUGGGACUUUUAAGCUGUUCUUAGGUAUGUUUUCUUUUCUGUCUAGUAACCAUUGUCCCUACCCCCUCCUAAAGCCAAAACAAAGUGUGAAGUGAACUCGGGGAAAGGGGGUCAGAUGGGGAAUGAGGACAAGCUCCCACCCAGCUGCCCUCCCCUGCAGCCCGUGGAGCAGCAGGGUCAGUCCUGCCAUUCCCCCAGGGCCAGCCUUGUCCUGCCUGGGGACUGACACACUGACACGGCAGGGGGGUCACAGCUUUUUUUUAAAUGAGGAAUAUCUUCUUUUCUGCCUCCCCCAGCACUGCAGGCCUCGAGGUCCAGCCCAGAGCAGACCCUCAGGGAGGACAGCCCAGCUCAGCUCAACACAAGACAUUUCUCUGGGUGAAGGUGAUUCCUGUGCCUCCAACACCAGGAAUUUCAUGUGAAUCAGUUAAAGAAAAGCAGGCUAAACUAAACACUCUGCAUUCAUAACUGCAGAUAAACAUGGGCUGCAACAUUUAUUGCUCAAUAAAAGGCAGGCAAGCUCCUGAUGAUGAGCAGGAGCAGCUCAGAACAGCUUUGGGGUGUUUCCAAGUGAAAUCUUUUGGUCCUUUCUCCCCAUAGUAGGUAUCUUUGCUUAUUUCUUAAAGGGCAAAGGGAAAAAAAGGCUCACAAUGAGUCAUUAAACUUUCAAAUGAGUCAUCUGGCUUUCAGUAAAGCAUGUGUAAAAAUAUUACUGAUUUACAAACAAUAUCCAGUGUAACACAAUAGGUCCAAAAAAGAUGAAUCUAAAAAUGAGGCAAUACCAUAAAAGACACAAGGUCAGGUCAAAUUUGGCCAAGAGAUCAACCAAUACAAAUGUUCCCAUGGAUGGUUUUCUUUCUUUUUUUUCCCUUUUUUUUAUUUUUGUAAUUUUUAUUUUUAAACCCUCAGAGGCUACUUUUUAUACAAAUAAAUAUUGCCUGUGCAGUGCUAGCCACACAAACAGGAGAAUGCCUUGGGGAGCAGAGGGAUCCUGGCAGGCAGCAGAAGUAAACACCAACCACACGAGUGUAUUUUUUCUGUUAAAACUGCAUUGCAAAAACUAAACUGAUAGAAUAAAUACUGAAAAAGCAAACUCCAUUUUUUAAUGCUCUGCUGAAACACUCUGGAGCACAGCUGGACCUGCACAAGGCAAAAUAUGGCACAUGUGUGUGCAGCUGAUAGGUCAGACUGAGGGGUGGUUUUAAUGACAGGUAAGGACAAUUUGGAUUUGGUUUCAUUUUUACUGUGCCUCCCUACCUGAAAGAACCAAAGUCUGCAGAACCAAUAUUAACGUUGUCUUUUCAUUUCUGAUUUGUUGCUUAUUUUGCACACCUGAUGUAAUUCUGCCAUUUCACUGCAUCUCUGUCAUAUAUUCUUUCAUGAACUGCUGGAAAUAAUGCAAAACUUAAAAAAAAAAUUAAAAAGUAAAUGAGGAAUAUAA